AUUGGACCAAACAACUUAGUAAAUAGAGUUGUAGCUAGGCGACACAAGUGGCAGAGUUGUAGCUAGGCGACACAAGUGGCGGGCCGUGGAGGCAGUAGGUGGUGGUGGAACGGCCACACGCAUUGGCCCGGACAUCGAACUGCCGAGUUUGCAGCCGUGAGUGGUUGCCGCAGCUGCUCGAGCAUAAUCCGAUGUCAACCACGUCGAACGCGGUGAGGACGACUAUGAUAGAUGUUGGAUCGGUUCUGCAUAUUGGCAACGAUGAGCGACUGGCUCAGGAAGUAGCGAGGAUUGAGAAGCUGGCGGCCGAGGGAGAGACGGUAUACUGUGCCACUGUUGCGCUCGUUGAUGUGCCACCAUGAAGCGGCGAACUGCUUGUGAGGGAAAGGAUGAGCUCUGUGACGAUGGCACAGCGGGAUGAGGAAAAAGUACUGUACCAGAAGAUGUUGGAGGUGUAGUUGUUGUAGCUGAGGAGCUGAGGUGGUGGGUUGAAGAGG
This 497-nucleotide unclassified non-coding RNA is filed under the name Hevea brasiliensis (rubber tree). The record is from RNAcentral. Lineage: Eukaryota; Viridiplantae; Streptophyta; Magnoliopsida; Malpighiales; Euphorbiaceae.